Molecule: ribosomal RNA, 539 nt
Filed under: uncultured Nitrospira sp.
Lineage: Bacteria; Pseudomonadati; Nitrospirota; Nitrospiria; Nitrospirales; Nitrospiraceae
Description: bacterial SSU rRNA
Rfam family: Bacterial small subunit ribosomal RNA
Source: RNAcentral
UGAGGAAUAUUGCGCAAUGGGCGAAAGCCUGACGCAGCGACGCCGCGUGGGGGAUGAAGGUCUUCGGAUUGUAAACCCCUUUCGGGUGGGAAGACGGCCCUAGACAACUAGGGCGGACGGUACCACCAGAGGCAGCCACGGCUAACUUCGUGCCAGCAGCCGCGGUAAUACGAAGGUGGCAAGCGUUGUUCGGAUUUACUGGGCGUAAAGGGAGCGUAGGUGGUUAGGUAAGCCCUCCGGGAAAUCUUCAGGCUUAACCUGAAAAGGUCGGGGGGGACUGCCUGGCUAGAGGACGGGAGAGGAGCGCGGAAUUCCCGGUGUAGCGGUGAAAUGCGUAGAGAUCGGGAGGAAGGCCGGUGGCGAAGGCGGCGCUCUGGAACGUUUCUGACACUGAGGCUCGAAAGCGUGGGGAGCAAACAGGAUUAGAUACCCUGGUAGUCCACGCCCUAAACGAUGGACACUAAGUGCCGGCGGGUUACCGUCGGUGCCGCAGCUAACGCAUUAAGUGUCCCGCCUGGGGAGUACGGCCGCAAGGUUGA